Molecule: ribosomal RNA, 252 nt
Filed under: uncultured bacterium
Lineage: Bacteria
Description: partial 16S ribosomal RNA
Rfam family: Bacterial small subunit ribosomal RNA
Source: RNAcentral
UACGUAGGUCCCGAGCGUUGUCCAGAUUUAUUGGGCGUAAAGCGAGCGCAGGUGGUUUAUUAAGUCUGGUGUAAAAGGCAGUGGCUCAACCAUUGUGUGCAUUGGAAACUGGUAGACUUAAGUGCAGGAGAGGAGAGUGGAAUUCCAUGUGUAGCGGUGAAAUGCGUAGAUAUAUGGAGGAACACCGGUGGCGAAAGCGGCUCUCUGGCCUGUAACUGACACUGAGGCUCGGAAGCGUGGGGAGCAAACAGG